RNAcentral lists this ribosomal RNA (471 nucleotides) under uncultured soil bacterium. RNAcentral's name for it is "bacterial SSU rRNA". It matches the Rfam family "Bacterial small subunit ribosomal RNA", at positions 26 to 501 of the family's 1533-position model. The record is from RNAcentral.
AGAUUGAACGCUGGCGGCAUGCCUUACACAUGCAAGUCGAACGGUAACGCGGGGCAACCUGGCGACGAGUGGCGAACGGGUGAGUAAUGCAUCGGAACGUGCCCAAUAGUGGGGGAUAGCUCGGCGAAAGCCGGAUUAAUACCGCAUACGACCUACGGGUGAAAGCGGGGGAUCGCAAGACCUCGCGCUAAUGGAGCGGCCGAUGUCAGAUUAGGUUGUUGGUGGGUAAAAGCCUACCAAGCCGACGAUCUGUAGCUGGUCUGAGAGGACGACCAGCCACACUGGGACUGAGACACGGCCCAGACUCCUACGGGAGGCAGCAGUGGGGAAUUUGGACAAGUGGGGGCAACCUGAUCAGCCAUGCCGCGUGCGGAAGAAGGCCUUCGGGUUGUAACCGCUUUUGUCGAGGAAGAACGCUCCAAGCUAAUACCUUGGUAAUGACGUACGUGAAGAAUAAGACACCGGACUAAC